UUCGGCGGCCGAAUAUCUUCUGUCUGUGCAACCUUUAUCGGCUGAAUGCUGCAGAUGGUUUCUUUCAGUUUCAGGUUUUCAGUCCUGCAAAGAUCAUCAUUCAAAAUACAAUUUUGAUUCUCAUUAAACACAUCUUGGCUCAAACAAUCAAUAAUAUCAAGACUAUCAACAAGUUCUGCUUGAUCAGUUUGUUUGGACAAACAGUUUUCUGGUUGUGUCUCUUCAGCAGCUUGUUCUUGUACUUGCCAACUUU
This 253-nucleotide long non-coding RNA is filed under the name Manihot esculenta (cassava). Its description in RNAcentral is "long non-coding RNA (MESC_LNC001106)". The record is from RNAcentral. Lineage: Eukaryota; Viridiplantae; Streptophyta; Magnoliopsida; Malpighiales; Euphorbiaceae.